GUGAAUCAUCGAAUCUUAGAACGCAAAUUGCACUCCCUGGUAUUCCGGGGAGUAUGCCUGUUUGAGGGUCGUUAGAAUAAAAAAUCGAGGCGUCGCUCUUUUUUUGAGGGUGAUCGGGCUGGAAUGGAGCCGUCUUUCGUCUGUUAAUACAUGUCAAAGUGGCUUAAAAUUCAUUAAUCCGGUACGUUUAAACCGAAUUUAAGAUCAAUUUUGUUCAAGAACGC
Molecule: unclassified non-coding RNA, 224 nt
Filed under: Glomeraceae sp.
Lineage: Eukaryota; Fungi; Glomeromycota; Glomeromycetes; Glomerales; Glomeraceae
Description: partial contains 5.8S ribosomal RNA and internal transcribed spacer 2
Rfam family: 5.8S ribosomal RNA (bases 1-71)
Source: RNAcentral